UACGUAGGGUGCGAGCGUUAAUCGGAAUUACUGGGCGUAAAGCGUGCGUAGGCGGUUCCUCAAGUCCGUUGUGAAAGCCCCGGGCUCAACCUGGGAAUGGCAGUGGAAACUAGGGGACUGGAAUCUGGCAGAGGGGGGUGGAAUGCCGCGUGUAGCAGUGAAAUGCGUAGAGAUGCGGCGGAACACCGGUGGCGAAGGCGGUUCUCUGGGCCUUACCUGACGCUGAGGAGCGAAAGCGUGGGGAGCAAACAGG
RNAcentral lists this ribosomal RNA (253 nucleotides) under uncultured bacterium. Its description in RNAcentral is "partial 16S ribosomal RNA". It matches the Rfam family "Bacterial small subunit ribosomal RNA", at positions 524 to 776 of the family's 1533-position model. The record is from RNAcentral.